This 134-nucleotide long non-coding RNA is filed under the name Capra hircus (goat). Its description in RNAcentral is "lncRNA (ENSCHIG00010028231.1)". Lineage: Eukaryota; Metazoa; Chordata; Mammalia; Artiodactyla; Bovidae. The record is from RNAcentral.
UCCACACUAAGGAUCUCUGCAAUAAAGACUGAGACGUUUCAUAUCUACCAGCUUCUCAAAAGGAUCUGUGAUCCCCAAAAGGACCACUUAAUGGAAGUAGAAGAGCAAUAUUGAAUUUGUCCAACAUAAAAAUA